Camellia sinensis is the source of this 1382-nucleotide non-coding RNA. The record is from RefSeq and is a predicted model, not a curated record. NCBI's taxonomy places the organism in Eukaryota, Viridiplantae, Streptophyta, Magnoliopsida, Ericales, Theaceae.
UUUUUUUUUGAAGACGUUAAGAAAAGUUAGUGAGAGAGAGUGAGAAAGAGAGAACAAGAUAGAGAGAGACUGUAUAUGAAAAAGGAAAGUUGGGUGUGUCAUGUGUUUGUGAAGUCUUUACCCUUCCACUGAUUGUAAGCCAAAAAAGACUGAAGAAUCAUUCUAUCCCCACUUCACCUACUGUCCAACACCCUUUCUGUAUAGACCCUUUUUUUUUGGUAUUCUUGGUACAGUCCUGUUCUCAUCAGAUUAGACCUAAAAUCAGUUUUUUCCAAUAAUUUGCCCUAUUGUCCUCACCUCAACUCACCCCUAAUAUCCCUAAAACCUUUUCUGGGUUUUUUUUUGCCUAUUUUGUUUGUUUGUGUGUGUGGAGAUAUGGUGAGAGGGAAGACUCAGAUGAGGAGGAUAGAGAACGCUACAAGCAGGCAAGUCACCUUUUCCAAAAGGAGAAAUGGGCUUCUGAAGAAGGCAUUUGAGCUCUCGGUUCUCUGCGAUGCUGAGGUUGCUCUCAUCAUCUUCUCUCCUAGGGGAAAGCUCUAUGAAUUUGCUAGUUCAAGCAUGCAGGAGACGAUACAGCGCUAUCAGAGGCAUACAAAAGAUGUUCAAACUGACAACUCAUCAGUGGAAGAAAACAUGCAGCAUUUGAAGCAUGAGGCAGCAGACAUGGCAAAGCAGAUAGAGCUUCUUGAAGUUGCGAAAAGGAAACUCUUGGGAGAGGAUCUGGGGUCAUGCACCAUGGAAGAACUGCAGCAAAUUGAACAACAGUUGGAGCGGAGUGUAAGCAGAGUCCGGGCUAAAAAGAUGGAGGCUUUCAUGGAACAGGUUGAUCAACUUAAGGAAAAGGAGAAAGUCCUAACAGCUGAAAAUGCAAAGCUUUGUGAGAAGAAAUGUACUUUCAAGGAUCUGAAUACAGAGAAAGGCUUCUUCCAAUAGAUUUCUUCGUUUGCUUUUAUUUCCCGAGGGAACAACAACAAAUGGAAGAUUUCUCAUUUCUUUCCAACUUCGUGCAUUUAUCCUUGGAUGUCCUGUCCAGCCAGUGAUUGUUCGCUAUCCCCAUGUACACUUCGGCCAAUCUUGGGGAAAUGUUACUUUGGCGAUGCUCAUGUUUAGAAUGUUCACGCAGUUUCACAAUGUCAUGGAGGUAUACUGUAGCUGAAGGAGUCCCCCAUUGUCUCUGUGGCUGAGUGAUUAAUUUAUUUAUUUUUUUGUAGUUGCAUAUUCUGAAAAUGUAGUUUAGCUUGUAUUUGUUUUCUUGUUAGAUUUCUGUAUAAUAAGGUCUGAGGUGGCAAAUCAUUUAUAGUAAUGCCCCAAUUUGCCAUAUUUUUUUGGAAAAUUAGUAAGCAUAUGAAAUUUAAAAAGCAAAAAAAAAAAAAUAAAAAAAA